RNAcentral lists this ribosomal RNA (301 nucleotides) under uncultured bacterium. RNAcentral describes it as "partial 16S ribosomal RNA". It matches the Rfam family "Bacterial small subunit ribosomal RNA", at positions 509 to 807 of the family's 1533-position model. The record is from RNAcentral.
CAGUCGCCGCGGGAAUACGUAGGGUCCGAGCGUUGUCCGGAAUUAUUGGGCGUAAAGAGCUCGUAGGCGGUUCGUCGCGUCUGCCGUGAAAUCCUCAGGCUCAACCUGAGGCGUGCGGUGGGUACGGGCAGGCUAGAGUGCGGUAGGGGAGAAUGGAACUCCUGGUGUAGCGGUGGAAUGCGCAGAUAUCAGGAAGAACACCGAUGGCGAAGGCAGUUCUCUGGGCCGUAACUGACGCUGAGGAGCGAAAGCGUGGGGAGCGAACAGGAUUAGAUACUCGAGUAGUCCCUGUCUCUUAUAC